CUCAGAAGUAGAUUUUGCCAUGCUUAUAAAUAGAGGGUGUAAUUAGGCAGCUCCUUACUUGUUACUUGUAGCUAUGGAUGUUCUACAACCAAAUCACACAUGAUUUUAAUGUUUCCUAUGCAGUUCAGAUGACAUGAUGAUUCUGUUUUUGGGGAUGUUUGUGCAAUCUUCAAACACUGGAAGGAUGAUGCUGGUCAUGAACUCAAUAAAGACAGUAGGCAAGUCCAGAGGGAAGGAUUGAACUACAGUCCUAGAGUUCUUCAACAAAGAAGGUUAGCCAACCAUGAAGGUUACUACAAUCAUGCAGUUUAUCUUGGGGCUCAUUGUUUGCAGUGAGAUAGACUGACUGCCACUGCUUCAAUUCAAGAAUGCAAUCAUCCUCAAUUCAAAGCAAUCCUAGAUGUCGCGGAAUGAGAGCACCUACUUUUGCAGUUGGGAAGGUGUUCAUUGCAAGAUGAAGAAUCCACAACGUGCCACUUCUCUCAACCUUACAAACCGAGGUUCAUAGUUGAUCCAGUGGUAUCAUCACCUGAUGACUCAUAUUCAACCUCUUUGAUUGCAAUUAAUGGAACUAUUGGAUAUGUUGCUCCAGUGAUGUCUAGCUUUGGAAUUGUUCUACUUGAAAUAUUCUUAGGAAGAGGCCUACAGAUGAUAUGUUCAAAGAUGGAAUAAAUAUCGUAAAAUUCGUUGAGAUGAAUUUUCCUGCCAAGAUAUCACAAAUUGUUAAACCUGAAUUAAUUCAAGAUCAGCCACAAAGAAGAUGACCUGGACUAUUUAAUUUCUGUGCUCAACAUUGGGCUUCGCUGCACCAAGCAGGCCCCUGGUGAGCGGCCCAAUAUGCAAGUGAGCAAUCAGCUGUUAACAGUGGACAUACAAGUAUGAAAAAGACCAAAUUGAAAACUUCUUGUUUAUCAGAGAUUUAGAUUGGUGGUCUCUUCAAGCGUGCAUCUGAGAUUGUGUAAAUUGAUUUGACAUAAACAACCUGUUUUCUCAGAUAUUACUGUAGAACUGGAAGAUAUCUUACGGUCUAUUCAUGCCUCCAGUUCUAGAGGAGCCCAUCGACGUACCAAACCAAAGAUACAAAUGAAAUCACAACGAU
Long non-coding RNA from Lolium rigidum, 1099 nucleotides. RefSeq lists it as uncharacterized. The transcript is spliced from 6 exons. Lineage: Eukaryota; Viridiplantae; Streptophyta; Magnoliopsida; Poales; Poaceae. The record is from RefSeq and is a predicted model, not a curated record.